RNAcentral lists this non-coding RNA (24 nucleotides) under Arabidopsis thaliana (thale cress). Lineage: Eukaryota; Viridiplantae; Streptophyta; Magnoliopsida; Brassicales; Brassicaceae. The record is from RNAcentral.
UGGAAUGCUUGCUGGUCUAUUGCU